Molecule: ribosomal RNA, 580 nt
Filed under: Streptomyces sp. SCAUEA20
Lineage: Bacteria; Bacillati; Actinomycetota; Actinomycetes; Kitasatosporales; Streptomycetaceae
Description: bacterial SSU rRNA
Rfam family: Bacterial small subunit ribosomal RNA
Source: RNAcentral
AGUAACACGUGGGCAAUCUGCCCUGCACUCUGGGACAAGCCCUGGAAACGGGGUCUAAUACCGGAUACUGAUCGCCUUGGGCAUCCUUGGUGAUCGAAAGCUCCGGCGGUGCAGGAUGAGCCCGCGGCCUAUCAGCUUGUUGGUGAGGUAAUGGCUCACCAAGGCGACGACGGGUAGCCGGCCUGAGAGGGCGACCGGCCACACUGGGACUGAGACACGGCCCAGACUCCUACGGGAGGCAGCAGUGGGGAAUAUUGCACAAUGGGCGAAAGCCUGAUGCAGCGACGCCGCGUGAGGGAUGACGGCCUUCGGGUUGUAAACCUCUUUCAGCAGGGAAGAAGCGAAAGUGACGGUACCUGCAGAAGAAGCGCCGGCUAACUACGUGCCAGCAGCCGCGGUAAUACGUAGGGCGCGAGCGUUGUCCGGAAUUAUUGGGCGUAAAGAGCUCGUAGGCGGCUUGUCGCGUCGGUUGUGAAAGCCCGGGGCUUAACCCCGGGUCUGCAGUCGAUACGGGCAGGCUAGAGUUCGGUAGGGGAGAUCGGAAUUCCUGGUGUAGCGGUGAAAUGCGCAGAUAUCAGGA